This is a non-coding RNA of Anas platyrhynchos (mallard), 379 nucleotides long. The record is from RefSeq and is a predicted model, not a curated record. Lineage: Eukaryota; Metazoa; Chordata; Aves; Anseriformes; Anatidae.
GUUUCCUCGGCAUCAUCCUUGGGUGGUACUGUUUGUGGUUCGAGGAUCAAGUGAGCAACGGGUGGAGAUGUGAGAAAUAUGCUCCUGUGAUGACUCCUGUCUAGUUGUAAACCUUGCUACAUUUUAACUACUAUUUAGCUACAGAUGGAUGAAUCCUGCACAAUCAGUAAUUGAGUGGAUUCUAUUGUUUUCUGCAUGUGGAAUUAAACAUAAGAUGCUGUUCUCCUUCAUCAUCCCCUAAACUUAUUGCUUGAUAAUUUUUGAGAACUUUUUAUCUAUUCUUACACACUUACAGCAUGCACUGUGCUAGCAAAAUAAGGCCAUUCUCUGUAAGGUUGUUGUAAUAAUAAAGUUCAGCAAUGACUGUGAGAUAUACAGA